This 327-nucleotide ribosomal RNA is filed under the name uncultured eukaryote. Its description in RNAcentral is "partial 18S ribosomal RNA". It matches the Rfam family "Eukaryotic small subunit ribosomal RNA", at positions 1470 to 1796 of the family's 1831-position model. The record is from RNAcentral.
CCCUUAGAUGUUCUGGGCCGCACGCGCGCUACACUGACGAAUGCAACGAGCUUAUAACCUUGGCCGAAAGGUCUGGGUAAUCUCCAAAUUUCGUCGUGAUGGGGAUAGAUUAUAGCAAUUAUUAAUCUUCAACGAGGAAUGCCUAGUAAGCGCAAGUCAUCAGCUUGCGUUGAUUACGUCCCUGCCCUUUGUACACACCGCCCGUCGCUCCUACCGAUUGAAUGGUCCGGUGAAGCGUUCGGACCGUGGCCUUUGGACGGUUCGCCGUCUGUUGGCUGCGGGAAGUUCGUUAAACCUUAUCAUUUAGAGGAAGGAGAANUCGUAACA